UACGUAGGGGGCAAGCGUUGUCCGGAUUUAUUGGGCGUAAAGAGCGUGUAGGCGGUUCGGUAGGUCCGUUGUGAAAACUCGAGGCUCAACCUCGAGACGCCGAUGGAAACCCUCGAACUAGAGUCCGGAAGAGGAGAAUGGAAUUCCUGGUGUAGCGGUGAAAUGCGCAGAUAUUAGGAAGAACACCAGUGGCGAAGGCGGCUUACUGGUCCGGAACUGACGCUGAGGUGCGAAAGCGUGGGGAGCAAACAGG
RNAcentral lists this ribosomal RNA (253 nucleotides) under uncultured bacterium. RNAcentral's name for it is "partial 16S ribosomal RNA". It matches the Rfam family "Bacterial small subunit ribosomal RNA", at positions 524 to 776 of the family's 1533-position model. The record is from RNAcentral.